Molecule: ribosomal RNA, 328 nt
Filed under: uncultured bacterium
Lineage: Bacteria
Description: bacterial SSU rRNA
Rfam family: Bacterial small subunit ribosomal RNA
Source: RNAcentral
AGCGCAGGCGGACUUUCAAGUCGGUGGUGAAAUCUUACAGCUUAACUGUAAAACUGCCUCCGAUACUGUGAGUCUUGAGUGUGGAAGAGGGCGAUGGAAUUCAUGGUGUGGCGGUGAAAUGCGUAGAUAUCAUGAAGAACACCGGUCGCGAAGGCGGUCGCCUGGUCCAUUACUGACGCUCAUGCUCGAAAGUGUGGGGAGCAAACAGGAUUAGAUACCCUGGUAGUCCACACCUUAAACGAUGAAUACUUGGUGUCGGGUCGAAAGGCUCGGUGCCAAAGCUAACGCAUUAAGUAUUCCACCUGGGGAGUACGAUCGCAAGGUUGAA